Molecule: ribosomal RNA, 253 nt
Filed under: uncultured bacterium
Lineage: Bacteria
Description: partial 16S ribosomal RNA
Rfam family: Bacterial small subunit ribosomal RNA
Source: RNAcentral
UACGAGGGGGGCUAGCGUUGCUCGGAAUCACUGGGCGUAAAGCGCACGUAGGCGGCUUUCUAAGUCAGGGGUGAAAUCCUGGAGCUCAACUCCAGAACUGCCUUUGAUACUGGAGAGCUUGAGUCCGGGAGAGGUGAGUGGAACUCCGAGUGUAGAGGUGAAAUUCGUAGAUAUUCGGAAGAACACCAGUGGCGAAGGCGGCUCACUGGCCCGGUACUGACGCUGAUGUGCGAAAGCGUGGGGAGCAAACAGG